GCUGAUUACAAGUAUCCUUAUUUCUCUGAGAAUAGCUUCGAGAAUAACAGUGCACAAGAUGCUAACCCUGACUUGUUCAUGGGUGCGGAAGAGCACAUGACUAACUCAUCUGGCAUAGAUGCGGUAAAAUCUGAUGCAUCGGACAGAAAAUCUCCUCCACGUGUAAUCCAGGGUGUAGGUUCUCCAGACAGAGUCCGAUUUGAAUUGCCUGGAGAGGCAGAACAUACUGAAGAAGCAGACAAGUUGCUGGAAGGACUUGGUCCUCGCUUUACCGAUUGGUGGGGUUGUGAGCCACUGCCUAUUGAUGCAGAUCUUUUGCCAGCUAUAGUCCCCGGGUACAAGAGACCUUUCCGUCUACUUCCUUAUGGAGUAAAACCUAAAUUGACAAAUGACGAAAUGACAACACUGAGGAGACUUGGUCGACCUUUGCCUUGCCAUUUUGUAUUAGGAAGAAACAGAAAACUUCAAGGAUUGGCUGCUGCAAUUGUGAAGCUAUGGGAGAAAUGUGAAAUUGCAAAAGUUGCUGUCAAAAGAGGAGUUCAGAACACUAACAGUGAACUGAUGGCGGAAGAGCUAAAGUGGCUGACUG
RNAcentral lists this unclassified non-coding RNA (589 nucleotides) under Hevea brasiliensis (rubber tree). Lineage: Eukaryota; Viridiplantae; Streptophyta; Magnoliopsida; Malpighiales; Euphorbiaceae. The record is from RNAcentral.